GUCUGCAACCCGACUACAUGAAGCUGGAAUCGCUAGUAAUCGCGAAUCAGAAUGUCGCGGUGAAUACGUUCCCGGGUCUUGUACACACCGCCCGUCACACCAUGGGAGUCGGAAAUGCCCGAAGUCAGUGACCUAACCGAAAGGGAGGAGCUGCCGAAGGUGGAGCCGGUAACUGGGGUGAAGUCGUAACAAGGUACC
Molecule: ribosomal RNA, 198 nt
Filed under: uncultured bacterium
Lineage: Bacteria
Description: partial 16S ribosomal RNA
Rfam family: Bacterial small subunit ribosomal RNA
Source: RNAcentral